GCGGAAAGUUUAAAGUUGAAGCGUUUCCCCAGCCGCCUUUGUGAAAUCCCCCAACUGACACAUACACACACAAACACACACAGGCCCCGCAGGAGUGGGUAAUUCAAAAAUUCCAUUGCAUACCCCACAGGCGUUGAGUGCAAAAGCAUAGAGAUUUCAGCUCAAGCGCCUGUAUGUAUGCACUUUUUGAGUGAAAGUGUGGGUGCUUGUUCGAGUGUUGGUCUGGGUAUCUGUGUGAGUAGUGGGCACGCACCGCGAAAAUGAAAGAGAACACGCCCCCAGUUGGCAGCCAGUGAGCGAAUCGACCAACCUAGACCAACCCCCUGGUUCAAGUUCAAUGCAAUCUGCACCCACUGUCGCCGGCGACCUUGAAGACAUAACCACGCGAAGCGGAGGAAGGGAAAUCUGGCAAACACGCUGGCAGCAAUAAUGAACACGGGUAUCUCCCAGACAAAAACUCUCAAUUUCCGCACUUCAACUUGGCAAUGUUUGCUUUGUUCAGUGGAGUCCACUUGAGAGCGUUUCAGACUAAAGAAGAUGAUUUUGGAGGGUUGUCAAACAGCAGAAGAACUUCCCAAUGACGUCAAGACAAUAGAGAAGGAAAGCGAGAGGGCUGGAGCGUAAAAUAGAGAUUAGCCCCAAUCUCUGGAUUCCAAAAUACCCACACUAAAAAUAGUUAUCUCAAGUCAAAUCUUGUUAUCUCCAUUAUCUGCCAGACAAAUGACCGUUAGCUAAAGAAAAACAGGGGGAAAAAAAUAAUAAUAAUAACUGCGAAAAAGAGAAUUCUUCCUAUUCAUUAAUAAUGGUUAACCCAAUGAAAGCAAUUAAAUCAAAUCGAGCCGAGCCGAGUUCGUUUGGCAAAGAUUUUUCAGCAGAGACAUGACCAUGACGUGGCAAACCGCCACCUCAAUCUCUUUCCAACCCUCUAUCUCCAUCUCUAGCUGUCUCUACGACCUCAUCGAAUUGCUAAUGAUCCCAAGGUAAUACUUCAGCUGCUUUAUUGUUAUUUAUUUAUUUAUUCUUUUUUCGAUUAUAAAUUUAUAACAAAG
Molecule: long non-coding RNA, 1049 nt
Organism: Drosophila elegans
Lineage: Eukaryota; Metazoa; Arthropoda; Insecta; Diptera; Drosophilidae
Exons: 3
Source: RefSeq, a predicted model, not a curated record